AGCUCAGUCCGUAGAGCAUGAGACUCUUAAUCUUAGGGUCAUGGGUUCGUGCCCCAU
This 57-nucleotide transfer RNA is filed under the name Cricetulus griseus (Chinese hamster). It matches the Rfam family "tRNA", at positions 9 to 63 of the family's 71-position model. Rfam says of the family: Transfer RNA (tRNA) molecules are approximately 80 nucleotides in length. Their secondary structure includes four short double-helical elements and three loops (D, anti-codon, and T loops). Further hydrogen bonds mediate the characteristic L-shaped molecular structure. tRNAs have two regions of fundamental functional importance: the anti-codon, which is responsible for specific mRNA codon recognition, and the 3' end, to which the tRNAs corresponding amino acid is attached (by aminoacyl-tRNA synthetases). tRNAs cope with the degeneracy of the genetic code in two manners: having more than one tRNA (with a specific anti-codon) for a particular amino acid; and 'wobble' base-pairing, i.e. permitting non-standard base-pairing at the 3rd anti-codon position. Lineage: Eukaryota; Metazoa; Chordata; Mammalia; Rodentia; Cricetidae. The record is from Rfam by way of RNAcentral.